UACGGAGGGUGCAAGCGUUAUCCGGAUUUACUGGGUUUAAAGGGUGCGUAGGUGGGUAGGUAAGUCAGUGGUGAAAUCUUCAAGCUUAACUUGGAAACUGCCAUUGAUACUAUUUAUCUUGAAUACUUUGGAGGUAAGCGGAAUAUGUCAUGUAGCGGUGAAAUGCUUAGAUAUGACAUAGAACACCAAUUGCGAAGGCAGCUUACUACACAGUUAUUGACACUGAGGCACGAAAGCGUGGGGAUCAAACAGG
This 253-nucleotide ribosomal RNA is filed under the name uncultured bacterium. RNAcentral's name for it is "partial 16S ribosomal RNA". It matches the Rfam family "Bacterial small subunit ribosomal RNA", at positions 524 to 776 of the family's 1533-position model. RNAcentral also lists the same sequence under 1 other name. The record is from RNAcentral.